UAGCUCUCCACGUAGUCGACGUGCUCGUCCUGCGGCUCGCUGGCGAUCUGCCGCAGCGUGGCCUUGUCCACGCGGCCCACGCCGAUGGCGAACAGCUCAAUACCGCUGGCCCGGGCCCGUGCAGACACGUCCCGCACGCUGUCCUGGGGCCUCCCGUCCGUCACCACGAUGACCACCUGCGACACGCAGGGCGCGUGACAGGUCUUCCUCCCGCCCUGGGCUGGGCUGGGCCCUCCAGUAAGCCCCCGAGAUCACUAGCAGAGGAGGACACAGAGGCCCCAGAGGCCUGCCCAGCCUUGCCCAGGUCACACAGCUAGUCUACUGCAGAUGGGUCUGACUCCCCGCCACGGUCUUGCCCCAGGGAGGAGGACCUGGCUAGCAGAAGAGGAGAGAGGUUUCCUCUGACUGAAAGACCCAGCUGAGGUGUUCUCCCCUCUGACUGGGGCCUCUGGAUCUCUCCCCCUUCAGGCAGACACCUCUGUGAUCAUCUGAGGGCAGGACCCUGCCUCCCUCCUCAGGCUGGGACCUCUUGAGAACCCCAAGUGUGCCCGACACCAUGCAGUUCUGCCCGUUGGCCACCAGAGGGCGAGCGAGGCUAGCGAACGGCGGCGCCUCCAGUCUGGCCAUCUUUCCCCUCUAGGCCCUGGGAAGGGGCCUUUUCUCCCUCCGUCCCCCAGGAUGCUACCUGCCCUUUCCGUGGGGGAAAGCACUGUCUGCUCCCCUCCCACAACGCUCCUCUGUUUGUACCCUGGGAAGGGAGACAGAGGGGACUCCGGGGCCGGUCCCAGCCCUGGCCACCCCCAGCUCUGCUCCAGUCUGGGGCCCGGAAUCCAGCCCUGACGGCUGCUUCUCUGCUUUCUGACCUGGGCCUGCUUCUGAUUCCCGGGUCCCCACCCUGGGCCCCGGGGCCCGAACCCCUGGCCUGUAGUGUGGUGGUUAAGGCAGGCCUGGGCUGGAAAUGCAGCUCACCUUCCCGGUGAGAUGAUUCAUGGUAAGAAGCCAGGAAGGGGAACUAUUAUUUUCCGUAUCCCUCCCGUGGACCCCCUGGGGAGUGGUCUCGAACCAUCCCUUCCCCCAGAGGCCUAGACUCACCUAGCUAUGACCGUCCGCUGCCCCAGCCUGUCCCAUUCCCCCCGCCCCCCAUCAGUCCAGCCUUGCGACCCUGAACCCACCUUGUCGGGGCUUCCCACAGGUGAAUUCCAGGCUGGCCACCCACUCACCCAGACCCGAUGGAACUCUCUCCCCCACGCUUGUCCACCCCGGGCUGACACCGUUCACUAGAGGUGUGACAGCCACAGAUGUCACCACCAUCCCCUUCACCACGUCUCUCCGUCAGGAUCACCCCAGGCCACCACAUCCUCCCAGCGAUCGUGACCGUCAACUUCCUGUCAGAGUUUGUAAAUGGCCCUCACGAGGUAUGACCAACAGGCCGCCUCAUAGACCAGCUCUUUGAGGCCUGUCACGGCCGGGAUUACACGCUGUUGUCUGUAAACAUUCCUACCUCUUAUUAACUGGGCAGGAUGCUUAAGCCCCCCCCCCCCCCCCCCCCGUGCCUCAGUGUCCUCAUCUGUAAAAAUGAGGACCCCGCCCCCAAGCAGGACUGCAUUCACUCGGCACUCAUAUGUCAGGCGUGUGCUCCAUGGGGAUAAGAAGUACAUUCCCUGGGGCUGGGGGCCUGGGCAGAUAAGCGGUGACUCCUUGGGGCCAUCGAGGGCUCUGAAAGGGAGGCGUGGGAACCUGUGGGAGGAGAGAACACCUGACCGGCCUCACAGGCCCCGGACUGAGCCCUGGAAAAUUACGCCGUGGGCACCAGGUCCGUGCAGCCCCUCCACACACCCUGCUCAGAGCCCUUCCUGACGUCAGCUUGUGGCACGUCGUGUCAUUUUUCUGAACCCCUGCCCUCGAAGGCUUUAAACAAAAAAAUAAGCUGGGGUGCCUGGGUGGCUCAGUCGGUUAAGCAUCUGACUCUUGAUCUCGGCUCCAGUCAUGAUCUCAUAGUUCGCGGGACAGCGAAACUGCGAUAAUCAAGUGCUCGCCAGAUCGGGGUCCUGGGGUCAGACGGUGGAUAGAGCGGGUUCAAAUCUCAGCUCCGCCACUUAGCUUAGGCGGGUCUAAUCCACAACCGUAAGAAGGCCAGCCCGUCAGGUGCUCUGAGAAUCACGCAGGUGACGCUCUCAGCACACAACAAGACGCCGGCGGGGAGGGGCGGGCACGUACCUUGCUGAUGUCGGGGGACCUGGCACGGCCCCCCUCGGCGUCGCUGAAGGCUUUGGUGAUGGCGAACUGGAUGGCCAGACCGGUCAUGGUCCCCGUGGACAGCGGCCGGAUGCCCCGAACGGCCCGCAGCAGCGCGGCCUUGGAGCCGUGGGCCCGCAGGGGGAACUCCUGCUUCACGGCGCUGGCGUAGUUGACCACGCCCACCCGGGUGGCGUUGGGCCCCACAUCCAGCGACUCGAUGACCUGGGACAAGAACACCUUCACCUUCUCGAACUCCACGGGCCUCACGCUGCGCGAGCUGUCCACCACAAACACCAGG
RNAcentral lists this long non-coding RNA (2536 nucleotides) under Lynx pardinus (Iberian lynx). The record is from RNAcentral. Lineage: Eukaryota; Metazoa; Chordata; Mammalia; Carnivora; Felidae.